This 333-nucleotide RNase P RNA is filed under the name Lachnospiraceae bacterium TWA4. RNAcentral describes it as "Bacterial RNase P class A". It matches the Rfam family "Bacterial RNase P class A". Rfam says of the family: Ribonuclease P (RNase P) is a ubiquitous endoribonuclease, found in archaea, bacteria and eukarya as well as chloroplasts and mitochondria. Its best characterised activity is the generation of mature 5'-ends of tRNAs by cleaving the 5'-leader elements of precursor-tRNAs. Cellular RNase Ps are ribonucleoproteins. Lineage: Bacteria; Bacillati; Bacillota; Clostridia; Lachnospirales; Lachnospiraceae. The record is from Rfam by way of RNAcentral.
CGAGUAGAAUAAAUGAUCGCGAGAGUAAUCUCGAGGAAAGUCCGGGCUUCAUAGGGCAGGAUGCCGGAUAACGUCCGGUGGAGGCGACUCCCAGGCUAGUGCAACAGAAAUAUACCGCUUCUAAUUUUAGGAGUAAGGGUGGAAAGGCAGUGUAAGAGACUACCGUCUAUUUGGUAACAAAUAGGGCUCUGUAAACCCCAUCCGAAGCAAGACCAAUAGAAAGCAUAAGGCGGCCCGUCUGCUUUCGGGUAGGUCGCUUGAUUUUACUGGUAACAGUAAAACUAGAUAGAUGAUCAUUCACGACAGAACCCGGCUUAUCGUUCUACUCGUUUU